GUCCAUCCCUCUUCCUGGAGACCUGAGCUCCUGUUCUCCAUGGUGAUCCAUUCAGUGACUUCUCCAAACUAUCUGGUAACAGUAUUGGCUCAGACCACGGAACUGCCCUUUGAUACCAAUUGCAAGUUCUCUGACCCACUGUGGAUCCAUGCUCAGUCUGCAUACAACACUCAGGACAGAUCAUCGAGAGAGAAGGAAUCUACAUUCCCUCGCCAAAUGCAACACUAGAAGUGAACACAGACUUGGAAGUUGGCAACGUGCUUGAGAAAUGCUAGGGUGACUUAUCUGGGCUGCAGGCAAGGGAGCAAAGUGACCCAUGGGGCCAAUCACCAACACAGGAUCCACCAAGUAUUGAAUGACCAUUCUUGGUCAUCGCUAUUCAGAGAGGCAGAAGUAAUUUUUACUGGAAAGCCCACAAGCAUGACUUUUCCAUCCCUUCAGUUUGCAAGUUCGUGCAGAUGAUAGGAGAAAAAAUAGCCCAGCACAUUUGCAUUUAAGUCUUGAAAUCUAAA
Long non-coding RNA from Homo sapiens (human), 512 nucleotides. RefSeq lists it as uncharacterized. The record is from RefSeq and is marked validated. The transcript is spliced from 3 exons. Lineage: Eukaryota; Metazoa; Chordata; Mammalia; Primates; Hominidae.